GUGAAGUGCGCUGUAUUUAGUUUGUACUCUGUUACAGUCGGGCCCCCUGAGCUUCUACACUGGGGGAAAUUACUGAUGUCCAUGAAGGCCAGAUGCCACCCUUGGCGUGGUCCGCGGAGUCCAGCCCCAGGCCUCAGGUUUGCACAGCAGUCUGCAGCCCCAGGGAGGCCUCCUUGUGGAGGGGCGCGAGUGGUCCGCGCGUGUCUAAGCUUCCACGCUUGGCAUUCGGCCUGGGCGCGUCCUUCCUCCUCACACAGCUCGGCACCGCUCGGGGAUGCCCGUGACAGCUGCUUCUGAAAAAUACCAAACUCAUGGAAGGUUUGAAGAAGUCAGCCCAGCACUACUGUUUACUCCCAGCAGGACUUAGUGAGGACUAUGCCCGCCUCUGUCCAAACCGCCAGAAGGCCGCCGCUCACUCUGUGGCACUGCUGUCCAGGAGCGAGGACUUUUCCUCCUUACCCACAACGCCAGGACCACAGAGCAGGUACGGUCAGCGGUGCUGGAGCCCGGAGCACGGCCACGGGGCAAGGCAGGUGAGCUGGGUCUCCACGGCGUAAGCGGGCCUUGGAGUCACUCUGCAAGCACGGGAAAAGCUUCACAGUGGGCACAGCAUGCUCCUGCAGCCAGAGAGAAGUGUGUCUUUGUUUUUUGGGUCUCUUUUCUGUUAGCUCGUGCUUGCAGUGCGUGGUGAUUACACUCAAAGUGGUGACCGCUACGCAUGCGCAUCGCGUCUCCAUCCUUUGACCCCGGACCCUCCCGCUCUGCCCUCUUCGCUCAUCCCCACGGAAAUUGAGGCACAGAAGGUUAAACAUCUCGUAGUUUUUCUUAUAUGAAAGACCCAAAAUAUAAAUAAAGAGCAAGACAAAAGGUGGAUGAUAGAGCACAGGGAGGUAGUUUGGAAACGCGAAGUCUAUCAAGCGCUGUGGACUCGCACGGGGCUCUGGCGGGCCUGCGCCGUCCAGCUCCGUGCGCCAGGGGGCGCUGCGGGACCGCGCCGCCUCUCGGGGAACCCGCGGGAGCGCCGUGAGCAUGCGCGGACGUCCUGCGCGCGGACUGAGAAAGUGAGGAUGCGCACGCGCGCGGCAGGAAAGGCCAGUGGCGGAGGUCCCGCUCGCUUUGUCCUCCUGGGCCAGUGGGCCCCUUGCGGGGCAGGCCGUGCGGCGACAGCGCAGGGCGCCCUGGAGCCCCGGCGAAGUGCGCGCCCCGGAAGGGCCUGGCGCGGGCGUCGGCCUCGCGGAGAGUCGGGCGGGGUGGCCGAGUCGGGCUCAUACAGGUCAGUUUCGGGGUUGGGAGAAACCCUAGAGGCCACUCUUAGGGCGACUCCACAGACCUGUCACUUGGACACACCCGCGUCCACGAGCGUCUAG
RNAcentral lists this long non-coding RNA (1367 nucleotides) under Chinchilla lanigera (long-tailed chinchilla). RNAcentral describes it as "lncRNA (ENSCLAG00000028879.1)". Lineage: Eukaryota; Metazoa; Chordata; Mammalia; Rodentia; Chinchillidae. The record is from RNAcentral.